This is a long non-coding RNA of Ctenopharyngodon idella (grass carp), 806 nucleotides long. RefSeq lists it as uncharacterized. The record is from RefSeq and is a predicted model, not a curated record. Lineage: Eukaryota; Metazoa; Chordata; Actinopteri; Cypriniformes; Xenocyprididae. The transcript is spliced from 3 exons.
ACAGCAUGCAAAUGUGUCCGCUUCGACCAUUGUGUGAACAGCACUAUUUUAAAAUGCAUUGCAACUGGCUUUGAGAAGUUCAACUUGACAGCAGGAAUAUUCCUCUUUAGGAUAAAUGAAACGCUGAAGAAUUUAACAAAUGAAGUCACCCCACAAUGGCCCACACUGGUGUCUCCUAAAAAAUUCUUUGAGUACAUCCGAGAUCUACGUCAAAAAUCAAAUGCAUUAGCGACUCAUUCCACUAACCAUCUAAGGGCCCGGAGGAGAGUAUCGAGACGAAAGUAAGGACGAAAAGAAAAGACGAGAACACACUUCAAUCUUCUGUGCCAGAGAGAAGAUGACACCAGAUAAUAUAUUAAAGAAGAGAUUUUUUUUUACAAAAAAGGCAUAACAUAAGAUAAUGGGGAGCAAUGGCUCAGGGGAGAGCAAGGCCCAAAAUAACAACCAAAACAAUCCACUAAAAAUCCAACUAACUUUCAAUUUGAAGUAAGAUCUCUGAACACUUUCGGUUAGCACAGGUCAAUGCCACUGCUAACACACAAUUAAUGUUUCACAGUGUCACAGUUGAUAUUUAUAAUUCUCUGUUUGUUUGAUUUGUAACAAUUUAUAAUUAUGUUUGUUUAAUUUAUUUUAUUUAUGGGUUUAUUUUAUGUAAUUUAUGACUUAUUUAUAUAUUUAUUCAUUUAUUUAUUUUUGUCUGUAUGAAUGUUUCAAACUGUCAAAUAUAGAAAUUACGCAAUAAAGUCCACUUUACAGCAAAUCCUCAGAUGUUUGUGUUAUAAUUUAGCAAAUAGCCCAAUGGUUAU